AGAGUUUGAUCCUGGCUCAGGAUGAACGCUGGCGGCGUGCCUAACACAUGCAAGUCGAGCGGGAUCUUCCGGAUUGAAACUUCGGUCGAAAGAAGGAAGUGAGAGCGGCGGACGGGUGAGUAACGCGUAGGCAACCUGCCCUUUGCAGAGGGAUAGCCACUGGAAACGGUGAUUAAAACCUCAUAAUGCCAAGAUAAGACAUCUUGACUUGGCCAAAGAUUUAUCGGCAAAGGAUGGGCCUGCGUCUGAUUAGCUAGUUGGUGGGGUAACGGCCUACCAAGGCGACGAUCAGUAGCCGACCUGAGAGGGUGAUCGGCCACAUUGGAACUGAGACACGGUCCAAACUCCUACGGGAGGCAGCAGUGGGGAAUAUUGCACAAUGGGCGAAAGCCUGAUGCAGCAACGCCGCGUGAGCGAAGAAGGUCUUCGGAUUGUAAAGCUCUGUCCUUGGGGAAGAAUAAAUGACGGUACCCUUGGAGGAAGCCCCGGCUAACUACGUGCCAGCAGCCGCGGUAAUACGUAGGGGGCAAGCGUUAUCCGGAAUUAUUGGGCGUAAAGAGUGCGUAGGUGGUUACCUAAGCAGGGGGUGAAAGGCAGUGGCUCAACCAUUGUUAGCCCCCUGAACUGGGCUACUUGAGUGCAGGAGAGGAAAGCGGAAUUCCUAGUGUAGCGGUGAAAUGCGUAGAUAUUAGGAGGAACACCAGUGGCGAAGGCGGCUUUCUGGACUGUAACUGACACUGAGGCACGAAAGUGUGGGGAGCAAACAGGAUUAGAUACCCUGGUAGUCCACACCGUAAACGAUGAGCACUAGGUGUCGGGGUCGCAAGACUUCGGUGCCGCAGUUAACGCAUUAAGUGCUCCGCCUGGGAAGUACGCUCGCAAGAGUGAAACUCAAAGGAAUUGACGGGGACCCGCACAAGUAGCGGAGCAUGUGGUUUAAUUCGAAGCAACGCGAAGAACCUUACCUAAGCUUGACAUCCCAAUGACCUCUCCCUAAUCGGAGAUUUCCCUUCGGGGACAUUGGUGACAGGUGGUGCAUGGUUGUCGUCAGCUCGUGUCGUGAGAUGUUGGGUUAAGUCCCGCAACGAGCGCAACCCUUGCCUUUAGUUGCCAGCAUUAAGUUGGGCACUCUAGAGGGACUGCCAGGGAUAACCUGGAGGAAGGUGGGGAUGACGUCAAAUCAUCAUGCCCCUUAUGCUUAGGGCUACACACGUGCUACAAUGGGUGGUACAGAGGGCAGCCAAGUCGUGAGGCGGAGCUAAUCCCUUAAAGCCAUUCUCAGUUUGGAUUGUAGGCUGAAACUCGCCUACAUGAAGCUGGAGUUACUAGUAAUCGCAGAUCAGAAUGCUGCAGUGAAUGCGUUCCCGGGUCUUGCACUCACCGCCCGUCA
Molecule: ribosomal RNA, 1390 nt
Filed under: uncultured bacterium
Lineage: Bacteria
Description: partial 16S ribosomal RNA
Rfam family: Bacterial small subunit ribosomal RNA
Source: RNAcentral